AGUUGGUCCAAGUCCAAUGGUGUUUACAACUAAUUGAUCACAACCAGUUACAGAUCCCUUUGUUCCUUUCUCCACUCCCACUGCUUCACUUGACCAGGCUUAAA
Prolemur simus (greater bamboo lemur) is the source of this 104-nucleotide unclassified non-coding RNA. It matches the Rfam family "Y RNA". Rfam says of the family: Y RNAs are components of the Ro ribonucleoprotein particle (Ro RNP), in association with Ro60 and La proteins. The Y RNAs and Ro60 and La proteins are well conserved, but the function of the Ro RNP is not known. NCBI's taxonomy places the organism in Eukaryota, Metazoa, Chordata, Mammalia, Primates, Lemuridae. The record is from Ensembl.